This 595-nucleotide ribosomal RNA is filed under the name uncultured bacterium. RNAcentral describes it as "bacterial SSU rRNA". It matches the Rfam family "Bacterial small subunit ribosomal RNA", at positions 8 to 644 of the family's 1533-position model. The record is from RNAcentral.
AGAGUUUGAUCCUGGCUCAGGAUGAACGCUGGCGGUAUGCUUUACACAUGCAAGUCGUACGAGAGUUUUUAACUCAAGUGGCGGACGGGUGAGUAACACGUAAGAAUUUGCCUUUAGGAGGGGGACAACAACUGGAAACGGUUGCUAAUACCCCAUAUGCUUUCGAGUGAAAUGGAUUUUCCGCCUAAAGAGAAGCUUGCGGCUGAUUAGCUUGUUGGUAAGGUAAUGGCUUACCAAGGCGACGAUCAGUAUCUGGUUUGAGAGGACGAUCAGACACACUGGAACUGAGACACGGUCCAGACUCCUACGGGAGGCAGCAGUGGGGAAUUUUCCGCAAUGGGCGAAAGCCUGACGGAGCAAUACCGCGUGAGGGAUGACGGCCUAUGGGUUGUAAACCUCUUUUUUCAGGGAGGAAUCAAUGACGUGUACCUGAAGAAUAAGCAUCGGCUAACUCCGUGCCAGCAGCCGCGGUAAGACGGAGGAUGCAAGUGUUAUCCGGAAUCACUGGGCGUAAAGCGUCUGUAGGUGGUCAAAUAAGUCAACUGUUAAAUCUUGAGGCUCAACCUCAAAAUCGCAGUCGAAACUAUUCGACUAG